CUGAGAAAGAUAUAGUGGUUAUAGUGUUGGCUUGAAACCAGUAAUAGAGGGUUCGAUUCCUUCCUUUCUUA
RNAcentral lists this transfer RNA (71 nucleotides) under Okapia johnstoni (okapi). RNAcentral describes it as "tRNA-Ser". It matches the Rfam family "tRNA". Rfam says of the family: Transfer RNA (tRNA) molecules are approximately 80 nucleotides in length. The record is from RNAcentral. Lineage: Eukaryota; Metazoa; Chordata; Mammalia; Artiodactyla; Giraffidae.